Quercus robur (English oak) is the source of this 1490-nucleotide long non-coding RNA. RefSeq lists it as uncharacterized. The transcript is spliced from 3 exons. The record is from RefSeq and is a predicted model, not a curated record. NCBI's taxonomy places the organism in Eukaryota, Viridiplantae, Streptophyta, Magnoliopsida, Fagales, Fagaceae.
UAUGCAAGCAUGACUUACAAGCUAGUAUUAGGGAAUAGUGUGGGCUAAUAUUAUCUAUUUAAGGUCUGGACAUAACUAGGCUAAAUCCGGGACAUUAAUCAUAGCCCAACCCAACUUUAAAUUCAGCCCAAUUAAAUAAAAGAAAAGAAAAGAAGGAAAAAAAGAAAAUCAAUCAUCACAGUCACCGCCCUUGAAAUUGUAAAUACUCUCAUUCCCUGUUUGGUUCGCGAGAAAACAGAGAGAAAAACAUUAACCCAGAAGGUAAAAUCUCUCAAUUUGCGGUCUUGUUCGUAUCUCUGUGCCCAUAGCCAAUCCUGAGGCCAACGAAAGAUACAAUUUUACCCGAGAUGGACAGUAAAAAAACAUUCCUAAGUAUGCACCAGCACAAUUUUACAUUGAUAAUGUUCUACCCCAAAUCAAGGAGAAGAAGAUAAUGGCACUUAAACCUUUUGUCAAUCGGCUUGGGUAUGACAAUGUUCCUCAAGAAAUCAGCAGGCUAAGGUGCAGGGUGAAUUAUCAUGCUCUGAAAUUUCUUCCUGAGAUUGAGCAGAUGGCUGAUUCACUGGCAUCAAGGAUGAGAAACCGUAGAGGCAGCUCAAAUCCUUUCAUGUAUGUGAAAUUGGUUGUGAAGGUUUCUGAACAAUAUUCUGGGUCUUGCUAGUAGCCAACCGUACUAACUAGGAAUAACUAGACGUUAUAAGGUGACCUGGAAUGAUGACACUUUGAUUGGCUUCUGGGAGAGAUGUUAAUAGAAACAAUUUACCAAACAAUUCUGUGAUCGGGGUGUGCAAGUUGUCGUCUGAUCUUUUUCCGGGGAAGGACUUAUCGGCCACAUCACUUUCCGUGACGGUCGGGUUAAUGAAUGUGAUAGGGUGUUGGUUUGGAGCUAUGCCAAGUUGCCAUGGUGAUGGUGGGUUAGCUGGGCAGUACAAGUUUGGUGGUAGGAGUGGUGGGUGUGUGGUACUUCUUGGCACAGCUAAAUUGAUGUUGGGUUUGGUAUUAGGGACUUCUUUGGGGAAGAUUUUGGACCAAUUUCCUGUUGGGAUACUUGGAGUUUUGCUCUUGUUUGCGGGGAUUGAGCUAGCUAUGGCUUCAAGGGACAUGAAUUCCAAGGAGGAAUCUUUUGUGAUGCUUAUUUGCACAGCGGUUUCACUUGUGGGUUCAAGUGCAGCGCAGGGUUUUGUGUCUGGGAUGAUUGUGCAUGUGCUUCUUAGGCUAAGAAAUUUGAGUAAGAUCAACCCUGUUGUUCCAUAGUAUAUUGUGUGCCCACUUCUCAUCUUGUGGUGAUUUGAUAAUUUCUAAUGUAUCAUUUGAAAUCGUGUAGAUUUUAAGUUUAGUUCAACAGAUGUCUUUUACUAAUGAAAAGGCACAGACAAUCCAAAGCAGCUUGUUAAUUCAGCUCUUGAGCUUUCUUGCAUUUUUCCUCCAGAUUCGUCAUCUCGAGAUUGUACUAGUCCAAGUUCUACAAAAAGCAACUUGUUCAGAAAUAA